Molecule: ribosomal RNA, 506 nt
Filed under: uncultured bacterium
Lineage: Bacteria
Description: partial 16S ribosomal RNA
Rfam family: Bacterial small subunit ribosomal RNA
Source: RNAcentral
AGUGAACGCUGGCGGUAGGCCUAACACAUGCAAGUCGAACGGCAGCACAGGAGAGCUUGCUCUCUGGGUGGCGAGUGGCGGACGGGUGAGGAAUACAUCGGAAUCUACUCUGUCGUGGGGGAUAACGUAGGGAAACUUACGCUAAUACCGCAUACGACCUACGGGUGAAAGCAGGGGACCUUCGGGCCUUGCGCGAUUGAAUGAGCCGAUGUCGGAUUAGCUAGUUGGCGGGGUAAAGGCCCACCAAGGCGACGAUCCGUAGCUGGUCUGAGAGGAUGAUCAGCCACACUGGAACUGAGACACGGUCCAGACUCCGACGGGAGGCAGCAGUGGGGAAUAUUGGACAAUGGGCGCAAGCCUGAUCCAGCCAUACCGCGUGGGUGAAGAAGGCCUUCGGGUUGUAAAGCCCUUUCGUUGGGAAAGAAAUCCAGCUGGUUAAUACCCGGUUGGGAUGACGGUACCCAAAGAAUAAGCACCGGCUAACUUCGUGCCAGCCGCCGCGGUAA